AGAUAUGGCUGAGGGAUCUGGCUGUGAUGUCUGUCACUUCAUUGAUUGCCAGAGUUGAGUUGACUAAGCUGGCUGGCCAGGUGGUCCUGUUCUUCCUCCCCCAGCCUUCUUGUCUUCCUCCCUCGAAGUGCUAUACUCUCUAAAGACAAAGACCAUCGGUCAAGGGUAGCUCACACGCUGUAACCUUUAAACAAAUUCUCAAGAUGUGGCUAAGCGGAGUGCAAGACCCAGACAGUCCUGUCUGUCACU
RNAcentral lists this small nuclear RNA (249 nucleotides) under Rattus norvegicus (Norway rat). RNAcentral's name for it is "7SK RNA". It matches the Rfam family "7SK RNA". Rfam says of the family: 7SK was discovered as an abundant small nuclear RNA in the mid-70s but a possible function has only recently been suggested. Two independent studies have found that 7SK RNA binds the CDK9/cyclin T complex (known as elongation factor P-TEFb). The record is from Rfam by way of RNAcentral. Lineage: Eukaryota; Metazoa; Chordata; Mammalia; Rodentia; Muridae.